GGGCACAUAGCUCAGUUGGUUAGAGCGCUGUCCUCACACGACAGAGGUCCCUGGUUCAAGUCCAGGUGUGCCCACCA
This 77-nucleotide transfer RNA is filed under the name Candidatus Uhrbacteria bacterium RIFCSPHIGHO2_01_FULL_46_23. RNAcentral's name for it is "tRNA-Val". It matches the Rfam family "tRNA". Rfam says of the family: Transfer RNA (tRNA) molecules are approximately 80 nucleotides in length. Their secondary structure includes four short double-helical elements and three loops (D, anti-codon, and T loops). RNAcentral also lists the same sequence under 4 other names. The record is from RNAcentral. Lineage: Bacteria; Candidatus Uhriibacteriota.